Molecule: long non-coding RNA, 899 nt
Organism: Bos taurus (domestic cattle)
Lineage: Eukaryota; Metazoa; Chordata; Mammalia; Artiodactyla; Bovidae
Source: Ensembl
AAUAGGAUUGAGCGUGAACAACACAAAGCCCAGCUCCUGCUCUCCAGAGAUUUCGUGGGAGUGACAGACACCAGUUAAAAUGCCUGCCCCCCUUCCCAAGGCUCAAAAAGCCGAAGAACCACCUGCAGACUUCCCCCAGGGAGUGGAUGAAAUUGCUGAUUCCCGGACUCCAAGCCCAGCUUUUCUGAAUCAGAAGCUCCAAGGAGAGUCAGCAAGCUCAAUACUCAACAUCACCUCAGGUGACUCUGAGACCACUUGCUGCCUUCGGGGAAGACAAGCCUCGGUCCUCCUCAUUUCCUGGGACAGGGGAUUUCCUCCUGGAACCUUGACUAAGCCGGAGCUGGGAAAUCAGCAGGGAGGGGAGGCCCAGGUUCACCACCCGCUUGUGAGGAGGUGAUGUCAACAAAGGUGGGAACCCUGUUCUGGGCACCGGGACCAAUGCUGGAGAGACCACUGCCAACAGGGAGCAUUCAGACUUCAAGAAGCAUACAUAUAGUCUGAAAGGGGAACCAGACGUGAAAACCAAGAAGUAUCCUAAAAAGGAAUAGGUAUAAAAAUGAAAUGGUGUACAGGGUGCAGCUGAGGGCCUCCGGGAGGAAAUGACCCACAGUGCUUCCCAGAAGAAAUGACUCCGGUGGUGAUGAGAAGGAGCAGGUGUUCUCUCAGCAGGCGUGGGACAGCCUGGCAUCCUAGUGAUCAAAACAGGGAAAUGGCCAAAAAAGGGAAAGGAAGACUUUGGGGAACUUCAAGAAGUUUGGUGUGUCCCCAUCAGGCACAUCCAGGCCAGGCUCAUCUUCUAGAAACGCUGCUUUCAUCAUCACAUGACACACACAGUCCUUCCCCAUAGGAUGCACACUGCUUCCCGGGGUGCUUUCCUCUAAGCCGGUUCCAGUAUAGUC